This is a long non-coding RNA of Cebus imitator (Panamanian white-faced capuchin), 1135 nucleotides long. RefSeq lists it as uncharacterized. NCBI's taxonomy places the organism in Eukaryota, Metazoa, Chordata, Mammalia, Primates, Cebidae. The record is from RefSeq and is a predicted model, not a curated record. The transcript has 2 exons.
CUCCUGCCUCAGCCACCUGAGUAGCUGGGAUUACAGGAUUGCUGGAAAGGCCAGGUGGACAAGGUGAGGUCCAGCCGCUUUCCUGCAGCCACGUGGCCACCCACUCACCCUGAGUCCUCGUCCCAGUAGUAGUGGCUCCUGCCGGGAUAACUCUGCUCCACUUUGUCCAUCUGCAAGGUCCUCACGAAGACGCCCGUCUUGGACGUUUGCUUCAGCAGGCGAUUGUGAACGUCCGACAGGAUGGAGAAGGUGGUGCCUCGCGGGUAGCAGAGCCCCACUCGAAUCCAGUCGCCCCUAGGAUGGGAAGUAGAGUCAGGUUACAAACAAGGGUGUCCAGGCCACGGGGCCUUUGGGACAUGCCUCAGAGAAAGAGACCAAAAAAUCUCCACCAAAUGACACCUCCAUUUUCGUAUGGGAAAUUUUGAAAGAACAUUUGCUGUUGUGGUGACCAAGUUGCAGUGUUCAAGGAGAGAACGAGAGACAGUGUCUGCCCGUGAGCAGAGAGUCUGCAUGUUUCACUCAUGUGUCUCCAGGGCCAACAACCGGGGUGCUCCCUGUGGAAGUUUGGGAAAAAGACAUUCUUUUUGUAGCUAAAGAGCACAGGAUCCGAAGGACCUAGGCUCAGCCCCUUCCGGGUCCCAGCUUGAUUGUAGGGCCCAUUUCAUCUCUUCCAUCUCAUUUCCCACAACUGAUAAAUGUCUGUCUCACAGGAAUACUGUGACAAGUAAAUAACAUGCAUAGAAAAUAUUGAAUCUAAACAUAUGAAGCCCUAUCCAGAUGACCUUGGUGUCAUCACUUUGUCUGGUAGAGCCUCAUUUCCCUCUCUGUAGAAUGGUAACAGCAAUACCCAGAUAUUUUUGCCAUCUAUCAAGCACUUGCUAAUGCCAGGUGCUGCGUGCCCGUCAGACAGUAUCUCCCUCCAUCCUCAUUGCACUUCUACAAGGUAACACUAUCCGCAACUCAAAGAUCAAGGAACUCGGGCUCAAGAGGUCAACCCUGCCCAAGGUCACCCAUGCUGGUGCAGGGGCUUGGCCUGUGUCCUUUAAUUCUUGGGUGAUGUCAACCCCUCUAGGUGCUCCUGCAGAGAUCACACGGGCUAGCCUAUGGUUCUGUGAGAGGCAAGUCCAGGACUUUG